CAUAGGUUAAUGAGGCGAACCGGGGGAACUGAAACAUCUAAGUACCCCGAGGAAAAGAAAUCAACCGAGAUUCCCCCAGUAGCGGCGAGCGAACGGGGAGCAGCCCAGAGCCUGAAUCAGUAUGUGUGUUAGUGGAAGCGUCUGGAAAGGCGCGCGAUACAGGGUGACAGCCCCGUACACAAAAAUGCACAUGCUGUGAGCUCGAUGAGUAGGGCGGGACACGUGGUAUCCUGUCUGAAUAUGGGGGGACCAUCCUCCAAGGCUAAAUACUCCUGACUGACCGAUAGUGAACCAGUACCGUGAGGGAAAGGCGAAAAGAACCCCGGCGAGGGGAGUGAAAAAGAACCUGAAACCGUGUACGUACAAGCAGUGGGAGCACGCUUAGGCGUGUGACUGCGUACCUUUUGUAUAAUGGGUCAGCGACUUAUAUUCUGUAGCAAGGUUAACCGAAUAGGGGAGCCGAAGGGAAACCGAGUCUUAACUGGGCGUUAAGUUGCAGGGUAUAGACCCGAAACCCGGUGAUCUAGCCAUGGGCAGGUUGAAGGUUGGGUAACACUAACUGGAGGACCGAACCGACUAAUGUUGAAAAAUUAGCGGAUGACUUGUGGCUGGGGGUGAAAGGCCAAUCAAACCGGGAGAUAGCUGGUUCUCCCCGAAAGCUAUUUAGGUAGCGCCUCGUGAAUUCAUCUCCGGGGGUAGAGCACUGUUUCGGCAAGGGGGUCAUCCCGACUUACCAACCCGAUGCAAACUGCGAAUACCGGAGAAUGUUAUCACGGGAGACACACGGCGGGUGCUAACGUCCGUCGUGAAGAGGGAAACAACCCAGACCGCCAGCUAAGGUCCCAAAGUCAUGGUUAAGUGGGAAACGAUGUGGGAAGGCCCAGACAGCCAGGAUGUUGGCUUAGAAGCAGCCAUCAUUUAAAGAAAGCGUAAUAGCUCACUGGUCGAGUCGGCCUGCGCGGAAGAUGUAACGGGGCUAAACCAUGCACCGAAGCUGCGGCAGCGACGCUGAUGCGUUGUUGGGUAGGGGAGCGUUCUGUAAGCCUGCGAAGGUGUGCUGUGAGGCAUGCUGGAGGUAUCAGAAGUGCGAAUGCUGACAUAAGUAACGAUAAAGCGGGUGAAAAGCCCGCUCGCCGGAAGACCAAGGGUUCCUGUCCAACGUUAAUCGGGGCAGGGUGAGUCGACCCCUAAGGCGAGGCCGAAAGGCGUAGUCGAUGGGAAACAGGUUAAUAUUCCUGUACUUGGUGUUACUGCGAAGGGGGGACGGAGAAGGCUAUGUUGGCCGGGCGACGGUUGUCCCGGUUUAAGCGU
RNAcentral lists this ribosomal RNA (1311 nucleotides) under Escherichia coli. Its description in RNAcentral is "partial 23S ribosomal RNA". It matches the Rfam family "Bacterial large subunit ribosomal RNA", at positions 165 to 1519 of the family's 2925-position model. The record is from RNAcentral. Lineage: Bacteria; Pseudomonadati; Pseudomonadota; Gammaproteobacteria; Enterobacterales; Enterobacteriaceae.